CGACGAUCCAGUAGCCCGGUCCGUGAGAGGAUGAACGGCCACAUUGGGACUGAGACACGGCCCAGACUCCUACGGGAGGCAGCAGUGGGGAAUCUUCCGCAAUGGACGAAAGUCUGACGGAGCAACGCCGCGUGAGUGAAGACGGUCUUCGGAUUGUAAAGCUCUGUUAUACGGGACGAACGGCAAGGUGGUAAAUAGCCAUCAUGAGUGACGGUACCGUAAGAGAAAGCCACGGCUAACUACGUGCCAGCAGCCGCGGUAAU
This 263-nucleotide ribosomal RNA is filed under the name uncultured Megasphaera sp. Its description in RNAcentral is "partial 16S ribosomal RNA". It matches the Rfam family "Bacterial small subunit ribosomal RNA", at positions 274 to 524 of the family's 1533-position model. The record is from RNAcentral. Lineage: Bacteria; Bacillati; Bacillota; Negativicutes; Veillonellales; Veillonellaceae.